GCCCGCAUGGCGGAAUUUGGCAGACGCGGGGGAAUUGGACUCCCCUGGAGCGCCCUAACCCGGCACCGUGCGAGUUCGAGUCUCGCUGCGGGUA
RNAcentral lists this transfer RNA (94 nucleotides) under Alphaproteobacteria bacterium. Its description in RNAcentral is "tRNA-Pro". It matches the Rfam family "tRNA". From Rfam's summary of the family: Transfer RNA (tRNA) molecules are approximately 80 nucleotides in length. Their secondary structure includes four short double-helical elements and three loops (D, anti-codon, and T loops). Further hydrogen bonds mediate the characteristic L-shaped molecular structure. tRNAs have two regions of fundamental functional importance: the anti-codon, which is responsible for specific mRNA codon recognition, and the 3' end, to which the tRNAs corresponding amino acid is attached (by aminoacyl-tRNA synthetases). tRNAs cope with the degeneracy of the genetic code in two manners: having more than one tRNA (with a specific anti-codon) for a particular amino acid; and 'wobble' base-pairing, i.e. permitting non-standard base-pairing at the 3rd anti-codon position. Lineage: Bacteria; Pseudomonadati; Pseudomonadota; Alphaproteobacteria. The record is from RNAcentral.